RNAcentral lists this ribosomal RNA (262 nucleotides) under uncultured bacterium. RNAcentral's name for it is "partial 16S ribosomal RNA". It matches the Rfam family "Bacterial small subunit ribosomal RNA", at positions 92 to 354 of the family's 1533-position model. The record is from RNAcentral.
UUAGUGGCGGACGGGUGAGUAACGCGUGGAAAACCUGCCGUAUACUGGGGGAUAACACUUAGAAAUAGGUGCUAAUACCGCAUAAGCGCACAGCUUCGCAUGAAGUGGUGUGAAAAACUCCGGUGGUAUACGAUGGUUCCGCGUCUGAUUAGCUUGUUGGCGGGGUAGGGGCCCACCAAGGCGACGAUCAGUAGCCGGCCUGAGAGGGUGGACGGCCACAUUGGGACUGAGACACGGCCCAAACUCCUACGGAAGGCAGCAG